GACGAACGCUGGCGGCGUGCCUAAUACAUGCAAGUAGAACGCACAGUUUAUACCGUAGCUUGCUACACCAUAGACUGUGAGUUGCGAACGGGUGAGUAACGCGUAGGUAACCUGCCUGGUAGCGGGGGAUAACUAUUGGAAACGAUAGCUAAUACCGCAUAAUAUUAAUUAUUGCAUGAUAAUUAAUUGAAAGGUGCAAUUGCACCACUACCAGAUGGACCUGCGUUGUAUUAGCUAGUAGGUGAGGUAACGGCUCACCUAGGCGACGAUACAUAGCCGACCUGAGAGGGUGAUCGGCCACACUGGGACUGAGACACGGCCCAGACUCCUACGGGAGGCAGCAGUAGGGAAUCUUCGGCAAUGGACGAAAGUCUGACCGGGCAACGCCGCGUGAGUGAAGAAGGUUUUCGGAUCGUAAAGCUCUGUUGUAAGAGAAGAACGGGUGUGAGAGUGGAAAGUUCACACUGUGACGGUAUCUUACCAGAAAGAGACGGCUAACUACGUG
This 505-nucleotide ribosomal RNA is filed under the name uncultured bacterium. Its description in RNAcentral is "partial 16S ribosomal RNA". It matches the Rfam family "Bacterial small subunit ribosomal RNA", at positions 28 to 507 of the family's 1533-position model. The record is from RNAcentral.